AAUUUGAUGUCAUGCAGCAAUUGGAACGUGAGCUUGAGGCCAUGUCUACCUUUGAUUACUGAGAAGUUACGUUACUCCUCGUGAAGAAGUUCUUGCGAGCACGUUUGGAGGAUUUAGCAGGCAAAGAUACCAAAGAGAAAUCUAAUGCUGCUAUAAAAGACCUUUUUGUGAAGCUUGCACUUGAGGCCAAAAGCAAUGUCAACAAAGGAGGUGGUGAUUCAAAACAGAUACAGGCAAUGUCAAAGAAAAAGAAGAAGGAUUACAGAAGAGCUAAGAAUCCAAAGGUUUUCAACUGUGUUGGGUCUGGUUCUGUUUCUUUUAUUAGGACUGCUUUCAUUUGAUACCACCUAAUCUUUUUUUUUUCUUCUCAGGGCGUUGGUCAGGACAAAGAUACUCUCACCCAUCAGGAAACUGAAGAACAAGCGAAGCUGAGGCUACUUUGAAUGCUAAGGAUAUCCAAUCACAAAUACAAAAUCACCUAUGGUUGUAGUACGAAAGUAGCUACAGUAAAGCUAGGGUCCUUAAAGAAUCGUUGUUGAUGUGAUUAUGAUGUCUUCUUGGUUUCCAUUUGCAGAUGUGUGAUUAGGACAUCGAUGUUUUAGGUGGUGGCAACAGCCUGUGGAGUUGGACUAGCCAUCAACUUCACCUCUAUGUGGUUUUUAAACCAAACAGGUACCACCACGUACAAGUAAGAGUCAUAUGCCACUGAGAGACUACUAAUGAAUAGUCUUCCUACCGC
Magnolia sinica is the source of this 739-nucleotide long non-coding RNA. RefSeq lists it as uncharacterized. The record is from RefSeq and is a predicted model, not a curated record. NCBI's taxonomy places the organism in Eukaryota, Viridiplantae, Streptophyta, Magnoliopsida, Magnoliales, Magnoliaceae. The transcript has 3 exons.